GGAUCGUACAUACUACAUGGAUAACUGUAGUAAUUCUAGAGCUAAUACAUGCCACUAAGCCCUGACCCGCAAGGGGACGGGUGGAUUUAUUAGAACAGAACCAACCGGUUGUGGCUUCGGUCAUGGCCGUUGUACUCUGUGAUGACUCUGGAUAACUUUACUGAUCGCAGUCGGCCUUGUGUCGGCGACGGAUCUUUCAAAUGUCUGCCCUAUCAAUUGUCGAUGGUAGGUGACCUGCCUACCAUGGUGAUAACGGGUAACGGGGAAUCAGGGUUCGAUUCCGGAGAGGGAGCCUGAGAAACGGCUACCACUUCUAAGGAAGGCAGCAGGCACGCAAAUUACCCAAUCCCGGCACGGGGAGGUAGUGACGAUAAAUACGGAUACGGGACUCAAAAGAGGCUCCGUAAUUCGAAUGAGUACAAUUUAAAUCCUUUAACGAGGACCAACUGGAGGGCAAGUCUGGUGCCAGCAGCCGCGGUAACUCCAGCUCCAGAAGCGUAUAUUAAAGUUGUUGCAGUUAAAAAGCUCGUAGUUGGAUCUGGGUCGCAUGGCUACGCGCCGUUGCUUGUGAUCUCGGUUUGGUUACGACCGGAUUGAGUUCAUGAGUCGGUGUAGUGGUUGUGCAGCCUUUCUGCCGUGUCUGUUUUACAGGUGCUGGCGGAUUGUUGGGUUCGCCCUUCAGUCUGUCGGCAUGCUUCCGAAUGCCUUUAAACGGGUGUUGGGGGCGGACGGCACGUUUACUU
RNAcentral lists this ribosomal RNA (743 nucleotides) under Trematoda environmental sample. Its description in RNAcentral is "SSU rRNA". It matches the Rfam family "Eukaryotic small subunit ribosomal RNA", at positions 122 to 757 of the family's 1831-position model. The record is from RNAcentral. Lineage: Eukaryota; Metazoa; Platyhelminthes; Trematoda.